This 596-nucleotide ribosomal RNA is filed under the name Salmonella enterica subsp. enterica serovar Montevideo str. ATCC BAA710. RNAcentral describes it as "bacterial LSU rRNA". It matches the Rfam family "Bacterial large subunit ribosomal RNA", at positions 1 to 636 of the family's 2925-position model. Lineage: Bacteria; Pseudomonadati; Pseudomonadota; Gammaproteobacteria; Enterobacterales; Enterobacteriaceae. The record is from RNAcentral.
GGUUAAGCGACUAAGCGUACACGGUGGAUGCCCUGGCAGUCAGAGGCGAUGAAGGGCGUGCUAAUCUGCGAUAAGCGCCGGUAAGGUGAUAUGAACCGUUAUAACCGGCGAUACCCGAAUGGGGAAACCCAGUGUGAUUCGUCACACUAUCAUUAACUGAAUCCAUAGGUUAAUGAGGCGAACCGGGGGAACUGAAACAUCUAAGUACCCCGAGGAAAAGAAAUCAACCGAGAUUCCCCCAGUAGCGGCGAGCGAACGGGGAGGAGCCCAGAGCCUGAAUCAGCAUGUGUGUUAGUGGAAGCGUCUGGAAAGGCGCGCGAUACAGGGUGACAGCCCCGUACACAAAAGCGCAUGUGCUGUGAGCUCGAUGAGUAGGGCGGGACACGUGGUAUCCUGUCUGAAUAUGGGGGGACCAUCCUCCAAGGCUAAAUACUCCUGACUGACCGAUAGUGAACCAGUACCGUGAGGGAAAGGCGAAAAGAACCCCGGCGAGGGGAGUGAAAAAGAACCUGAAACCGUGUACGUACAAGCAGUGGGAGCACCCUUUGGGGUGUGACUGCGUACCUUUUGUAUAAUGGGUCAGCGACUUAUAUUCU